AGAAUGCAUCGAAAAUCUUUUUUUUUUAAGCAAUGAAAUUUCUUUAUUAAUAAUUUUUAAUAAUUUAGGAAAAACUUGGCAUAAAUUUUUUUUUAUAGACAAUGAAAUUAUUUUAUUAAUAAUUUUAAAAAAACUUAGCAUGGUCGCUUCACAUAUACGAUUUCAGAUACACCCAACCUAUGAAUCGGAAUGUUAAGUGAAAAAACCAAAGGAAAUGAAGCUUUGAUAUCAUAACCCAACUAUUGCUUUGCUUGCAUAAUCAAACAAACUUGAUAUACUUCACCUCAGAUGCAUUUGGUAUUAAUGGAUUUUUUUUUAAGGCACAACAGGUAGCAGCAGGACAUCUGACUAUGACAUCAGUAUCAAUAUUUCUACUACUAUCAUUGCCCCCACUAGCUGUUUGGUCACUACUACUGGUAUUGUAUUUAUUCACUUUGACUAGAGGAUGAGAUCUACAGCUUUGCAUUUUUAGUGUUGCCAACUUCAGACUUGGGCCAAAUCCUAGAGACUUGAAACCA
This 518-nucleotide unclassified non-coding RNA is filed under the name Hevea brasiliensis (rubber tree). The record is from RNAcentral. Lineage: Eukaryota; Viridiplantae; Streptophyta; Magnoliopsida; Malpighiales; Euphorbiaceae.